This 406-nucleotide ribosomal RNA is filed under the name uncultured bacterium. RNAcentral's name for it is "partial 16S ribosomal RNA". It matches the Rfam family "Bacterial small subunit ribosomal RNA", at positions 30 to 526 of the family's 1533-position model. The record is from RNAcentral.
AUUGAACGCUGGCGGCAGGCUUAACACAUGCAAGUCGAACGAGUGGCGGACGGGUGAGUAAUGCUUGGGAAUCUAGCUUAUGGAGGGGGAUAACUACGGGAAACUGUAGCUAAUACCGCCUACCCUCGGAUUAGCCCAAUUGGGAUUAGGUAGUUGGUGGGUUCAAGGCUCACCAAGCCUACGAUCUCUAGCUGGUCUGAGAGGAUGACCAGCCAUCCUGGGACUGAGACACGGCCCAGACUCCUACGGGAGGCAGCAGUGGGGAAUAUUGCGCAAGGGGGGCAACCCUGAUGCAGCCAUGCCGCGUGAAUGAAGAAGGCCUUCGGGUUGUAAAGUACGUUCAGCGGGGAGGCGUUACCCGCAGAAGAAGCACCGGCUAACUCCGGGCCAGCAGCCGCGGUAAUUC